CCCGGUCAUAAACCCGGAGGAAGGUGGGGAUGACGUCAAGUCAGCAUGGCCUUUAUAUCCUGGGCUACACACACGCUACAAUGGGAAGGGACAAUAGGUUGCGAAGCCGCGAGGCGGAGCCAAUCCAGACAAAACCUUCCCUCAGUUCAGAUUGCAGGCUGCAACUCGCCUGCAUGAAGUUGGAGUUGCUAAGUAAACGCAGGUCAGCCAUACUGCGUUGAAUUACCGGUUCCCGGGCUU
RNAcentral lists this ribosomal RNA (240 nucleotides) under uncultured Anaerolineaceae bacterium. RNAcentral's name for it is "partial 16S ribosomal RNA". It matches the Rfam family "Bacterial small subunit ribosomal RNA", at positions 1151 to 1381 of the family's 1533-position model. Lineage: Bacteria; Bacillati; Chloroflexota; Anaerolineae; Anaerolineales; Anaerolineaceae. The record is from RNAcentral.